This 253-nucleotide ribosomal RNA is filed under the name uncultured bacterium. Its description in RNAcentral is "partial 16S ribosomal RNA". It matches the Rfam family "Bacterial small subunit ribosomal RNA", at positions 524 to 776 of the family's 1533-position model. The record is from RNAcentral.
UACGAAGGGGGCUAGCGUUGCUCGGAAUCACUGGGCGUAAAGCGCACGUAGGCGGAUUGUUAAGUCAGGGGUGAAAUCCUGGAGCUCAACUCCAGAACUGCCUUUGAUACUGGCGAUCUCGAGUCCGGGAGAGGUGAGUGGAACUGCGAGUGUAGAGGUGAAAUUCGUAGAUAUUCGCAAGAACACCGGUGGCGAAGGCGCUCAUCUGGCCCAAUACUGACGCUGAGGCGCGAAAGCUAGGGGAGCAAACGGG